AGGACGAACGCUGGCGGCGUGCUUAACACAUGCAAGUCGAGCGAGGCCCUUCCUUCGGGAAGGUGCCCUAGCGGCGAACGGGUGAGUAACACGUGGGCAACCUGCCCCUAGCACUGGGGAUAACUCCGGGAAACCGGGGCUAAUACCGGAUAUGACCUCCGAGGGCAUCCUUGGUGGUGUAAAGGAUUCUGGCUAGGGAUGGGCCCGCGGCCUAUCAGCUUGUUGGUGGGGUAAUGGCCUACCAAGGCGACGACGGGU
This 258-nucleotide ribosomal RNA is filed under the name uncultured bacterium. Its description in RNAcentral is "partial small subunit ribosomal RNA". It matches the Rfam family "Bacterial small subunit ribosomal RNA", at positions 26 to 284 of the family's 1533-position model. The record is from RNAcentral.